GGGCAAUAAUAAUUGACUGAAGCAAUCACUGCUGUGGGAAAACAAACGUCCUGGCAGUGUCGCAUCUGAAGGUCAAGCCUGAUGACAUAAGACUCUGUGUGGCUCCUUUUCCUGUUUGUUACCCACCAUCUCUGAAUUCAUCCCUAUGAAUAUGUAUUCACGGGUCCUUUGCUAAUCCUCACAACAGUGCAGUUUAGCGUUGUCUCGCUGAAUAAAAGCCAUGGAGAAGGUGCUGUCCAAGAAAAACAAAUUGGUCAUUCUAAUGAUGACCAGCAGGAAUGCAGUUCAGUCACAGAGACUUCAGAUUCCUGCUGAAGAAAAGAGCAAGUCAGAUGUCCUGCAGUACUGUAAGUGUUACCAAGCGAUUUCCCAUCUCCAGAUAAUAGCAACAAAGAGCCCAUUAGACUUGUCCUGAAAGGCUGAAUGCCAUGUCUGCUGAAUCAUCACACCAGAAUUAUAAUAUUUUAAGAGCUAUACUAUACAGAAUUAUUUUGCAUUAAAAAGAUAUGCUUAAUACCUAGCGUACUGCUUGU
This is a long non-coding RNA of Strigops habroptila (Kakapo), 533 nucleotides long. RefSeq lists it as uncharacterized. NCBI's taxonomy places the organism in Eukaryota, Metazoa, Chordata, Aves, Psittaciformes, Psittacidae. The record is from RefSeq and is a predicted model, not a curated record. The transcript has 4 exons.